Molecule: ribosomal RNA, 279 nt
Filed under: uncultured bacterium
Lineage: Bacteria
Description: partial 16S ribosomal RNA
Rfam family: Bacterial small subunit ribosomal RNA
Source: RNAcentral
UGCCAGCAGCCGCGGUAAUACGUAGGUGGCAAGCGUUAUCCGGAAUUAUUGGGCGUAAAGCGCGCGUAGGCGGCCCGGUAAGUCCGCUGUAAAAGUCAAAGGCUCAACCUUUGAAUGUCAGUGGAUACUGCCGGGCUAGAGUCCGGAAGAGGCGAGUGGAACUCCUGGUGUAGCGGUGGAAUGCGCAGAUAUCAGGAAGAACACCGACGGCGAAGGCAGCUCGCUGGGACGGUACUGACGCUGAGGCGCGAAAGCGUGGGGAGCGAACAGGAUUAGAUA